Molecule: ribosomal RNA, 1656 nt
Filed under: Triticum aestivum (bread wheat)
Lineage: Eukaryota; Viridiplantae; Streptophyta; Magnoliopsida; Poales; Poaceae
Description: partial small subunit ribosomal RNA
Source: RNAcentral
CUGGUUUUUCCGUCGCGGCAGAACCAAUCCCUCGCUAGCCCUACCUCGUCUCCCGUCUCCAGUCGCAGCCGCCGCCGCACCCCAAUCCAACCCCGCCGCCGGCGAUCUCCUCGCCCCCCUGCGCCGCCGCCCCCAACCUUCUAUUCUUCUCCCAAGGGAAUCCCAAGGGAAGGGAAGGGAAGGCAAGGGAAGGGAAGGGAGAGGGAGCGCCCAGAUCCACGGCGGCAUCAGCGCGCCGUCGUCACCUGAUCCGCGUCCGUCCUCGAGGGAGGUCGGCCAUGGAGGUCCGACCCAGCCCGGCAGCAGCCAUGGACGGACGGAGAUGCCCCAAACCCUACCCUCAAGGACGACGCCUCAACCUUCAAGGACGCGCGCCGGCGACCGCGGAUCUCCGGUGACGGCUAUGGAUGACUGCCCCGGAUCUGGACGCACAACCUGCAGCUGCAGCAGCAGCUGGACGACCGCUUAUGUCCUGGAUUUCAUCUUUUCUCCUUUCUCUGAUUUACUCAUACACAACUCCUGACUUGCUGCAUGUGGCUGCUGAAUCUUCCUACUGCAGGUGUGCCUUACACAUGUUCGUUGAGUUGCUUAAUGACAUAAAAAUUUUUUGAAACCUGGAGUUAUGCAACUGCAGCAACAAGGACGGAUGGCCAUCUUCACAGGUUUUGCAAGUAAUUGAAGCGCUUUUUGAGUAGAGGAUAAUUAGAGAUAUAAAGUUCUACCUCAGAUCUUGGGGAAUUAAUCCAUCUCGCUGUACUACCAACUCCGUCGGCCGCUCCUGCUCCAUACGCACAAUCUCGUCGAUGUACCAGAUUUCUUUAAGACCCACUGAAUAUUAGACGGACGUGCUCUACCUUGGCCUCAAGGGUGUUCAUCUACUUGUUGCCGUGCUCUGGAAUCUGGACGAUGCACUAAUGCAGUGAGCACAAGCCUGCAACCUUGAAGGAAAAUCCAUUGCCGCUGAUGACAUGAUACUAUGGGCAUCUUGGCAGCCGCCACUAGAGCAACACAUCCCUGAGCGAGCAGAUGAUGCAUAGGGGCACCUAUGGAAGAAGAGGUCGGGGAUGGUAGACAAGGGCGUGGACGCCGGUGCGGGCUCCUUAAAGCCUUCGAGGAGGAUGUCGCGGUCGGGCCCGGGGGCGGCUGCACUAGAGACACCAUGGUCAUUGCAUUCUAACAGUAUCUGCAUGAGCAGAGAAGACCAAGACCAAGUGAAGGUCACAUGGACGUGUGAAUCAGUGGGCAAGCCUCAUUUUUCUUCUAUACAUUAGAGCAGCCCAAGAUACUUGGCAUCCGUGAGACCCAUAGAUCAGCUAGAUCUUCAGCCUCAAUUGGUUGGCCCAUUUAUGCUUUGCAAGAUUUAUUUAUGCCGUUUCCUCCCAAGAGUAAUAAUUUCGGUUUCAGAUGUGCUAAAAUUCUCAUCGUCACAAACCUUUCAAGAGCGGAGCAAGACGAUCGAAGAGAGGGAGGGAUUACAAAUAUUUCAUUCAUGGCAGAGUUAGAAGUAGAACGAGCAAUGUAGAUGGACAAUUAUGCUUUCUUAAGAGUAUAUAUUUUUCAUGUGAACUAUAUUUAUUUUUCCGUGGCAACGGCAGUUGGUAUUGAGAUUGACAAAGUCGCAAAAACAUCGCUUCCCAUUGAAAGAAUAUUUCCCUG